UUACAAAUGCGAUGCUCUAACCUNUGAGCUAAGCGGGC
Molecule: transfer RNA, 38 nt
Filed under: Oxalis sp. AOKI2016
Lineage: Eukaryota; Viridiplantae; Streptophyta; Magnoliopsida; Oxalidales; Oxalidaceae
Description: partial trnT
Source: RNAcentral